AUAUUGCGCAAUGGGCGAAAGCCUGACGCAGCCACGCCGCGUGAGUGAGGAAGGCCUUCGGGUUGUAAAGCUCUGUCAUUCGGGAAAAACGGCUAUUCGGGGAAAGUUCGGGUAGCGUGAUGGUACCGAAGAAGGAAGCACAGGCAAACUCUGUGCCAGCAGCCGCGGUAAUACAGAGGGUGCAAGCGUUGUUCGGAAUUACUGGGCGUAAAGCGUGCGUAGUCGGUAUUGAGAGUCACGGGUGAAAUCCCCAAGCUUAACUUGGGAACUGCCUGUGAGACCUCAGUACUAGAGUGUGAGAGGGGAUAGUGGAAUACCCAGUGUAGCGGUGAAAUGCGUAGAGAUUGGGUGGAACACCGGUGGCGAAGGCGGCUAUCUGGCUCACAACUGACGAUCAGGCACGAAAGCGUGGGGAGCAAA
RNAcentral lists this ribosomal RNA (420 nucleotides) under uncultured bacterium. Its description in RNAcentral is "bacterial SSU rRNA". It matches the Rfam family "Bacterial small subunit ribosomal RNA", at positions 361 to 772 of the family's 1533-position model. The record is from RNAcentral.